Molecule: ribosomal RNA, 446 nt
Filed under: uncultured bacterium
Lineage: Bacteria
Description: partial 16S ribosomal RNA
Rfam family: Bacterial small subunit ribosomal RNA
Source: RNAcentral
CCUACGGGUGGCAGCAGUCGAGAAUCAUUCACAAUGGGGGAAACCCUGAUGGUGCGACGCCGCGUGGGGGAAUGAAGGUCUUCGGAUUGUAAACCCCUGUCAUGUGGGAGCAAAUUAAAAAGAUAGUACCACAAGAGGAAGAGACGGCUAACUCUGUGCCAGAAGCCGCGGUAAUACAGAGGUCUCAAGCGUUGUUCGGAAUCACUGGGCGUAAAGGGUGCGUAGGCUGUUUCGUAAGUCGUGUGUGAAAGGCGCGGGCUCAACCCGCGGACGGCACAUGAUACUGCGAGACUAGAGUAAUGGAGGGGGAACCGGAAUUCUCGGUGUAGCAGUGAAAUGCGUAGAUAUAGAGAGGAACACUCGUGGCGAAGGCGGGUUCCUGGACAUUAACUGACGCUGAGGCACGAAGGCCAGGGGAGCGAAAGGGAUUAGAUACCCCUGUAGUC